This is a long non-coding RNA of Oncorhynchus keta (chum salmon), 459 nucleotides long. RefSeq lists it as uncharacterized. The record is from RefSeq and is a predicted model, not a curated record. Lineage: Eukaryota; Metazoa; Chordata; Actinopteri; Salmoniformes; Salmonidae. The transcript is spliced from 3 exons.
UAUUCAGCAUUUCACUGUAAGGUCUACUACACCUGUUGUAUUCAGCAUUUCACUGUAAGGUCUACUACACCUGUUGUAUUCAGCAUUUCACUGUAAGGUCUACUACACCUGUUGUAUUCAGCAUUUCACUGUAAGGUCUACUACACCUGUUGUAUUCAGCAUUUCACUGUAAGGUCUACUCCACCUGUUGUAUUCAGCAUUUCACUGUAAGGUCUACUACACCUGUUGUAUUCAGCAUUUCACUGUAAGGUCUACUACACCUGUUGUAUUCAGCAUUUCACUGUAAGGUCUACUACACCUGUUGUAUUCAGCAUUUCACUGUGAGGUCUACUACACCUGUUGUAUUCAGCAUUUCACUGUCAGGUCUACUACACCUGUUGUAUUCGGCAUUUCACUGUAAGGUCUACUACACCUGUUGUAUUCUGCAUUUCACUGUAAGGUCUACUACACCUGUUGUAU